GGAGGAUCCGAGCGUUAUCCGGAUUUAUUGGGUUUAAAGGGAGCGUAGGUGGACUGGUAAGUCAGUUGUGAAAGUUUGCGGCUCAACCGUAAAAUUGCAGUUGAUACUGUCAGUCUUGAGUACAGUAGAGGUGGGCGGAAUUCGUGGUGUAGCGGUGAAAUGCUUAGAGAUCAUACAGAACACCGAUUGCGAAGGCAGCUUACCAAACUAUAUCUGACGUUGAGGCACGAAAGUGUGGGUAUCAAACAGGAUUAGAUACCCUGGUAGUCCACACGGUAAACGAUGGAUACUCGCUGUUGGCGAUAUACUGUCAGCGGCCAAGCGAAAGCAUUAAGUAUCCCACCUGGGGAGU
This 352-nucleotide ribosomal RNA is filed under the name uncultured bacterium. RNAcentral's name for it is "bacterial SSU rRNA". It matches the Rfam family "Bacterial small subunit ribosomal RNA", at positions 527 to 881 of the family's 1533-position model. The record is from RNAcentral.